This is a long non-coding RNA of Pogoniulus pusillus (Red-fronted tinkerbird), 227 nucleotides long. RefSeq lists it as uncharacterized. Lineage: Eukaryota; Metazoa; Chordata; Aves; Piciformes; Lybiidae. The transcript is spliced from 3 exons. The record is from RefSeq and is a predicted model, not a curated record.
ACUAAACCCUAGGAAGUUUAAAAAAUUAGGUAUCAGUUCAGAAUAUAAAUGCUUAGGUUCAACAUGAGAGGAGAUUGUAACAGAUACUACCUGCAAAAUUCUUUCAAGUUCAAAUAUUGGUGAUAUUCUUUUAUUCUUCCUGUACAGUUGGGAAUCUUACCAUUGAAGUUCCAUCCACAACAAUGAAGUAGAACUUUUUAAAAAGAUACUAAAGACAUUUUUGGUAC